CACGUAGGGCGCAAGCGUUGUCCGGAAUUAUUGGGCGUAAAGCGCGCGCAGGUGGUGCGGUAAGUCCUGUGUGAAAUCUCCCGGCUCAACUGGGAGGGUGCGGAGGAGACUGCCGGACUGGAGGCACUCAGAGGCCGGUGGAAUUCCCGGUGUAGUGGUGAAAUGCGUAGAGAUCGGGAGGAACACCAGUGGCGAAGGCGGCCGGCUGGGGGUGACCGUGACGCUGAGGCGCGAGAGCGUGGGGAGCGAACCGG
Molecule: ribosomal RNA, 254 nt
Filed under: uncultured bacterium
Lineage: Bacteria
Description: partial 16S ribosomal RNA
Rfam family: Bacterial small subunit ribosomal RNA
Source: RNAcentral